RNAcentral lists this unclassified non-coding RNA (1240 nucleotides) under Hevea brasiliensis (rubber tree). Lineage: Eukaryota; Viridiplantae; Streptophyta; Magnoliopsida; Malpighiales; Euphorbiaceae. The record is from RNAcentral.
CUACUGCUGCAUUGAAGAGUGAAGUGAGUUUUUCUUUCUUAUGGUACAUUAUUUUCUGUUUCUUUUCCCGUCCUGUUGUUUAUUAGUUGUCAUCUGUUGUGAUGGAUACGGAGAGAAGGAUGCUCAUUGGUAAAUGUGCAUCUCUCGUGGACAUUUACGGUAAGACAUUUUUUUCGCCAAUUUGCUACUUAUAAUAACUUAUGCUGGGACAUAAUAAAAAACUCUAGAAAAUAAUCAAGGGCACUUUGAUUUGUUCAGUUUUACACCUUGUUGGACUUUUAUUGAACUUUCAAUUGAAUGACUCCUAGCUCAGCUAUCCAUCUUAAUGCAUGAUUUGUGUGAGAUUCACCAUUCUUAAAGCCUCCUCACAAGCUCAACCUAAACUUGCUUUUUGAAAGCAAUACUAGCGACUAUAAAUUCUAUUAUGUGAUUUUAAGUUUUUAACACUAAAGACACAACCACUGCAUACUGAUCAAGAUGCCAUGAAGUGCUGAGACUAUUUGAAAAAAAUGUUUUACCAGAUAUUUUGUUGGAACAUUAUCUUUGGAUGGUUGCUAUAAAUAUCAGAUGCUUACAGCAAUAAAAUCCUUCUUGUCUGCUAUCAUAUGGAAAUUGACAUUGUACUCUUGUUUUUCAGUUCUUUUCCACCAAGCCUUAUGCUUGUGAGCCUUCUAGUCUUCCAAAAUAUCCUCCAAGCAAGGAGAUGGAUGCUAAACUACGAGAUGAAGAAGCUAGAAGAUUGAGAGCAGCUGGAAGGUCUAAUGCUGAUGGUGUGAAGAAGUUGCGUCCACGUGAUCGAACUGUAAAGGCAUUUCCUGCUCCAGAAGCCAAUGCCGAGCUUCAAGCCAAUCUUGAUAGACGGCGUUUAAUAACACAUGCAAAUGCUAAGAGCAAGAGUGAGAAAUUUCCUCCACCUCACCAAGAUGGAACACUUGGUUAUCCUUUGGGCUCUUCACAUCAGAUUGAUCCUGUUUUUGAUCCCCCUGAUGUCCCAUUCAGUUCCACGAAUUUCUCAUAUUCAAAAGCACCUAUCCAGACAUGGUCUGGCCCAUUGGUGGACCCAGCUUCAGUUGGUGCUCCAAAGAGAAAGAAACAGAAAGAUAAAAUUUCUGCUCGGGUAAAAGAGAAGGAAGGCAUGUAAUAUAUUUUCAGCUUAUUUGUGAGACUAUUCAUAAGGCUGCAAAGUUGCAAAUCCAGCCUUUGAUAUCUGUUCCGGGAAAGCCAAUUAAAUUGCAAGGAG